This 490-nucleotide ribosomal RNA is filed under the name uncultured bacterium. RNAcentral's name for it is "partial 16S ribosomal RNA". It matches the Rfam family "Bacterial small subunit ribosomal RNA", at positions 30 to 507 of the family's 1533-position model. The record is from RNAcentral.
AUUGAACGCUGGCGGCAGGCCUAACACAUGCAAGUCGAACGUUAACAGGAAUCAGCUUGCUGAUUCGCUGACGAGUGGCUGACGGGUGAUUCAUGCCUGGGCAACUGCCUGAUGGAGGGGUAUAACUACUGGAAACGGUACCUAAUACCUCUUAACGCCGCAAGACCAAAGAGUGGGACCUUCGUGCCUCUUGCCAUCGGAUGUGCCCAGAUGGGAUUAGCUAGUAGGUGGGGUAAAGGCGCACCUAUGCGACGAUCCCUAGCUGGUCUGAGAGGAUGACAGGACACAAUGGAACUGAGACACGGUCCAGACUCAGACGGGAGGCAGCAGUGGGGAAUAUUGCACAAUGGGCGCAAGCCUGAUGAAGCCAUGCCGCGUGUAUGAAGAAGGCAUUCGGGUUGUAAAGUACUUUCAGCGGGGAGGAAGGGAGUAAAGUUAAUACCUUUGCUCAUUGACGUUACCCGAAGAAGAAGCACCGGCUAACUCCGUG